GAUGAACGCUGGCGGCGUGCCUAAUACAUGCAAGUCGAGCGAACAGACGAGGAGCUUGCUCCUCUGAUGUUAGCGGCGGACGGGUGAGUAACACGUGGAUAACCUACCUAUAAGACUGGGAUAACUUCGGGAAACCGGAGCUAAUACCGGAUAACAUGUUGAACCGCAUGGUUCAACAGUGAAAGACGGUCUUGCUGUCACUUAUAGAUGGAUCCGCGCCGCAUUAGCUAGUUGGUAAGGUAACGGCUUACCAAGGCAACGAUGCGUAGCCGACCUGAGAGGGUGAUCGGCCACACUGGAACUGAGACACGGUCCAGACUCCUACGGGAGGCAGCAGUAGGGAAUCUUCCGCAAUGGGCGAAAGCCUGACGGAGCAACGCCGCGUGAGUGAAGAAGGUCUUCGGAUCGUAAAACUCUGUUAUUAGGGAAGAACAAUUGUGUAAGUAACUAUGCACGUCUUGACGGUACCUAAUCAGAAAGCCACGGCUAACUACGUG
Molecule: ribosomal RNA, 497 nt
Filed under: uncultured bacterium
Lineage: Bacteria
Description: partial 16S ribosomal RNA
Rfam family: Bacterial small subunit ribosomal RNA
Source: RNAcentral